CUUAGCAUAUCAAUAAGCGGAGGAAAAGAAACCCACCGGGAUUGCCCUAGUAACGGCGAGUGAAGCGGCAAGAGCUCAAAUUUGAAAGCUGGCCCCCUCGGGGUCCGCAUUGUAAUUUGCAGAGGAUGCUUCGGGAGCGGUCCCCAUCUAAGUGCCCUGGAACGGGCCGUCAUAGAGGGUGAGAAUCCCGUAUGGGAUGGGGUGCCCGCGCCCGUGUGAAGCUCCUUCGACGAGUCGAGUUGUUUGGGAAUGCAGCUCUAAUUGGGUGGUAAAUUUCAUCUAAAGCUAAAUAUUGGCCGGAGACCGAUAGCGCACAAGUAGAGUGAUCGAAAGAUGAAAAGCACUUUGAAAAGAGAGUUAAACAGCACGUGAAAUUGUUGAAAGGGAAGCGCUUGCGAUCAGACUCGCCCACGGGGUUCAGCCGGCAUUCGUGCCGGUGUACUUCCCCGCGGGCGGGCCAGCGUCGGUUUGGGCGGUCGGUCAAAGGCCCCUGGAAUGUAACGCCUCUCGGGGCGUCUUAUAGCCAGGGGUGCCAUGCGACCUGCCCGGACCGAGGAACGCGCUUCGGCUCGGACGCUGGCAUAAUGGUCGUAAGCGACCCGUCUUGAAACACGGACCAAGGAGUCUAACAUCUACGCGAGUGUUCGGGUGUCAAACCCGUGCGCGCAGUGAAAGCGAACGGAGGUGGGAACCCUCACGGGUGCACCAUCGACCGAUCCUGAUGUCUUCGGAUGGAUUUGAGUAAGAGCGUAGCUGUUGGGACCCGAAAGAUGGUGAACUAUGCCUGAAUAGGGCGAAGCCAGAGGAAACUCUGGUGGAGGCUCGCAGCGGUUCUGACGUGCAAAUCGAUCGUCAAAUUUGGGUAUAGGGGCGAAAGACUAAUCGAACCAUCUAGUAGCUGGUUCCUGCCGAA
RNAcentral lists this ribosomal RNA (913 nucleotides) under Penicillium sp. DV-2018p. Its description in RNAcentral is "LSU rRNA". It matches the Rfam family "Eukaryotic large subunit ribosomal RNA", at positions 33 to 965 of the family's 3401-position model. The record is from RNAcentral. Lineage: Eukaryota; Fungi; Ascomycota; Eurotiomycetes; Eurotiales; Aspergillaceae.